Molecule: long non-coding RNA, 1094 nt
Organism: Trichosurus vulpecula (common brushtail)
Lineage: Eukaryota; Metazoa; Chordata; Mammalia; Diprotodontia; Phalangeridae
Exons: 3
Source: RefSeq, a predicted model, not a curated record
UGGAUGUCUUCUGGAGGCCUAAACCUUUUCUUGUUUUCUUCUUUUUUCAGCCCUGUACCUUCAUCUUCCUCAGCCCUUUCCCUUCCUUCAUCCACAUCCUCCCGGACACUGGCCCUGACCAUCUCCCUAAGGUCCCUUCCAACUUUAAAUCCUGUGACGACUGACAUUCACACAGCUCUUUAAGGCUUGCUGUGUGUUAUGUGCAUUAUCCUCCGAGUUUCACAGCAACCCUGUGAUCACUACACAGUUUGUUCUAACUGGACUACACUUGCAUCAGACCAGGAGCUUCCUCUACCAGUGAAGGUCCGCACUUUCUCUGUAACUUAUGGUCUGGGGACACCGAGAGGUCACAUGAAUUGUCCGGGAUCACCCAACCAGGGGGAGUCACACUAGAACCUAAGGCUUCCCGCUCCUGAAGCCAGCCAGCCAGGACACCUCGCUGCCUUCCUAUGUUUGACACGGGAGGCCCGGGGAGGCCUCAGCGUGAGCAGCAGAAGGAAAGUCUUACCUGGCUCCAGGCGGCAGCUUCUGCGGCUCCCGCGCACGAACUACAACUCCCGAGAGGCUGCGCGCUUCCUCCCUAGGCUCCCGGCAAGGCUAGCCAAUCGGAGGCCGGGAGGGGCGGAGGCCUUCUGCAACGUCACGGCCCCUCAGCAGCAAUGAGAAGGCGCCUCGUCAUUCCUCCACAGAGAGUCCAGAUGCCAACGGCUCCGCCGCAGCUCACCGCUCUGACCGUGAAGGGCUGAGCUUCCGCAGCCAGCGUUUGUUAAGCUCUCCUUGUGUACGGAGACCCAAAACUUAGAUAAAACGGUGUCUGUUACUAACACACCUUUUGAGAGGUCCCUUCCAGUUUUGUUUUGGAGAAGAAGUGCUGACCUGUAUCCGUGGACGGAAUUUCUCACACCUAUACGAAAAAGACACACCCACGAUAAACUGUCAAAUAAAUCCUUACAUAAUAAGUGUGUUAGAGAGGUGCAGGAGAGUGGGGAAAAGCCAUGUGUAGUCUGAGGGGGGAAGGUCGUUAAGUACGGGGGGGAGCGUGGUUAAGUCUGAGAAAGCUUCAUAGAGUAGGUGACUUUUCGGUGCAAAUCGAC